RNAcentral lists this ribosomal RNA (224 nucleotides) under Alcaligenes faecalis. Its description in RNAcentral is "partial 16S ribosomal RNA". It matches the Rfam family "Bacterial small subunit ribosomal RNA", at positions 535 to 758 of the family's 1533-position model. The record is from RNAcentral. Lineage: Bacteria; Pseudomonadati; Pseudomonadota; Betaproteobacteria; Burkholderiales; Alcaligenaceae.
CAAGCGUUAAUCGGAAUUACUGGGCGUAAAGCGUGUGUAGGCGGUUCGGAAAGAAAGAUGUGAAAUCCCAGGGCUCAACCUUGGAACUGCAUUUUUAACUGCCGAGCUAGAGUAUGUCAGAGGGGGGUAGAAUUCCACGUGUAGCAGUGAAAUGCGUAGAUAUGUGGAGGAAUACCGAUGGCGAAGGCAGCCCCCUGGGAUAAUACUGACGCUCAGACACGAAA